This 255-nucleotide ribosomal RNA is filed under the name uncultured bacterium. Its description in RNAcentral is "partial 16S ribosomal RNA". It matches the Rfam family "Bacterial small subunit ribosomal RNA", at positions 524 to 776 of the family's 1533-position model. The record is from RNAcentral.
UACGUAGGGUGCGAGCGUUGUCCGGAAUCAUUGGGCGUAAAGAGCGUGUAGGCGGCCCGAUAAGUCCGCCGUGAAAGUCCAGGGCUCAACCCUGGAAUGCCGGUGGAAACUGUCGGGCUGGAGUCCGGAAGAGGCGAGUGGAAUUCCUGGUGUAGCGGUGAAAUGCGCAGAUAUCAGGAGGAACACCAAUGGCGAAGGCAGCUCGCUGGGACGGUACUGACGCUGAGACGCGAAAAGCGUGGGGGAGCAAACAGG